RNAcentral lists this ribosomal RNA (253 nucleotides) under uncultured bacterium. RNAcentral describes it as "partial 16S ribosomal RNA". It matches the Rfam family "Bacterial small subunit ribosomal RNA", at positions 524 to 776 of the family's 1533-position model. The record is from RNAcentral.
UACGGAAGGGGCUAGCGUUGUUCGGAAGUACUGGGUGUAAAGCGUGUGUAGGCGGAUCACUAAGUCGGGGGUGAAAGCCCGGGGCUCAACCUCGGAACUGCCUUCGAUACUGGUGAUCUCGAGAAUUGGAGAGGUGAGCGGAAUUCAUAGUGUAGAGGUGAAAUUCGUAGAUAUUCGGACGAACACCAGAGGCGAAGGCGGCUCACUGGACAAUUUCUGACGCUGAGACCCGAAAGCGUGGGGAGCAAACAGG